This is a long non-coding RNA of Impatiens glandulifera, 290 nucleotides long. RefSeq lists it as uncharacterized. NCBI's taxonomy places the organism in Eukaryota, Viridiplantae, Streptophyta, Magnoliopsida, Ericales, Balsaminaceae. The record is from RefSeq and is a predicted model, not a curated record. The transcript has 3 exons.
CAUUUAUAUAUAUAUAUAUAUAUUGGGUUUUGAUUAUAAUUAAUUUGCAGAAGCAACUCCAAAGCUUCUUCUUCACUUGAUGAAUGUAAAAGGGCUUACAAUUUCUCAUAUCAAAAGCCAUCUUCAGAUGUAUAGAAGUAUGAAGAGUGAUAUGAUCAACCCACAAGAUAAGAGUUGUUCCACCAAGAAAAGAAAACAAUUUGUUAUGGAUGAAGAUGAAGAGAAUGAUAUUGUGAGGAGGAGAUACACAUAUUCUUCACUCAUGCAAGAAUCAGAUUCCAAUUUCUUUA